RNAcentral lists this ribosomal RNA (253 nucleotides) under uncultured bacterium. RNAcentral's name for it is "partial 16S ribosomal RNA". It matches the Rfam family "Bacterial small subunit ribosomal RNA", at positions 524 to 776 of the family's 1533-position model. The record is from RNAcentral.
GACGAACCGUGCGAACGUUGUUCGGAAUUACUGGGCGUAAAGCGCACGUAGGCGGACUGUUAAGUCGGGGGUGAAAUCCUGGGGCUCAACCUCAGAAUUGCCUCCGAUACUGGCAGUCUCGAGUGCGGGAGAGGUGAGUGGAAUUCCCAGUGUAGAGGUGAAAUUCGUAGAUAUUGGGAAGAACACCAGUGGCGAAGGCGGCUCACUGGCCCGUAACUGACGCUGAGGUGCGAAGGCGUGGGGAGCAAACAGG